UAGGGAAUCUUCCACAAUGGGCGCAAGUCUGAUGGAGCAACACCGCGUGAGUGAAGAAGGGUUUCGGCUCGUAAAGCUCUGUUGUUAAAGAAGAACGUGGGUAAGAGUAACUGUUUACCCAGUGACGGUAUUUAACCAGAAAGCCACGGCUAACUACGUGCCAG
This 164-nucleotide ribosomal RNA is filed under the name uncultured bacterium. RNAcentral describes it as "partial 16S ribosomal RNA". It matches the Rfam family "Bacterial small subunit ribosomal RNA", at positions 355 to 511 of the family's 1533-position model. The record is from RNAcentral.